GAGAGGGCAAAGUAUGCGCAGCCAAGCACUAUUUUGUCAUUUCGUCAAACAGUAAUAGGAUGAGCCAAGCUUAGUUGCCAGUCGAGAGAGAGACCAGCGACUUUGAGAGGAUACAACUACGAAGGAAAAUGGGAAGCAGAGCUUUGCUUCUACUGAAGGGAUUAUCUUGUUCCUCGCUACCCAAGAAGCUGCUUUUCCCAAAAGUCCUUCCUCCUCGUAACAUCAAUUGGGUUCGAACAAAUUGCUCGACACCCAAAAGCAGCGGCCUUCCUUUGGAGCCUCCGGACUUGCCACGCUUGGCCGAGACUGCUCGAAUUACUCUGACCCCUCAUGAGGUAGAAGAAUUUGCUCCCAAAAUUGGGCAAGUCAUAGAUUGGUUUGGACAGCUUCAAGCUGUUGAUCUUGAAACUGUGGAGCCCUCAAUCAGAGCAGAUACUGAAGGCGAUAGUUUCCGUGAAGAUAUUCCUGAAACGUUUGAGAACAGGGAGGCCAUGAUUGCUGCCGUUCCAAACUAUGAGGAGCAGUAUAUUAAAGUUCCCAAAGUCUUGAACAAGGAGUAGCACUAUUGCUAUUAGAUUUAGGAAAGACUUCGCUUCCUUUUGAUCGUUAUACUGAAAAAUUUGUUGUCUCAGAUCUUGUUUUUCGAUAAUGGAUGGUUAUUAGGAAUUUGAAGGUAGUUUUAGCUUGAGGACAUAUCAGGGAAGAAGUCUUUCACCUAGAACUUUUCGUCAUUUCAAGGAAAUUGAAUCCCAAAGUAUGUUAGUUCAAAAAUAUCCAUAACCAUGACUGGUGCAGAACACCUGAAUAGGUCGAAGGUGUGGAGUGCGGAAAGGCAACCGAACUUAGGAAGAGAUUCAAGAACAGUAUGCACCUGCGCACCCGGUGAUGGUUCCCGUGUACAGUAGCUAGUCUAAGCCAAGACUGAGUUUUAACAAGUGAUGAAUUCUGAUGCAAAUCUUCAUUGGUUCAUCACCGCACCUCAGAAACCAUAUUAUUAUCUUGUUUUUUCUAAUUGUUAGAGGACCUCAACUGAAAUACAGGAUCCACAAUUUUUAAUGUCCUUCAAAUUAUACAUGUGUUAGCUGAGCGAGCCGGAGUAAGAAGCAAAUACAUACAUAGAUCUACAGAGUAUCAAAACUUGAAUCCAUGUUUUGAAUUGGGUGAUGAAUAUUGUGAACGAAUUUGUACAAGUUCA
Malus domestica (apple) is the source of this 1195-nucleotide non-coding RNA. Lineage: Eukaryota; Viridiplantae; Streptophyta; Magnoliopsida; Rosales; Rosaceae. The record is from RefSeq and is a predicted model, not a curated record.